CCGAGUGCGGGCCCUCGCGCCCAACCUCCAACCCUUUGUCGAUUCAUAUCUGUUGCCUCGGGGGGCGACCCGGACGCGAGCCCGGGAGUCCCCCAGAGGUCCAAUCAAACACACUGCGUCUUUGCGUCGGAGUAUUGAAAACAAUCAAUCA
Molecule: unclassified non-coding RNA, 151 nt
Filed under: uncultured Ascomycota
Lineage: Eukaryota; Fungi; Ascomycota
Description: sequence contains ITS1
Source: RNAcentral